This 483-nucleotide ribosomal RNA is filed under the name uncultured bacterium. RNAcentral describes it as "bacterial SSU rRNA". It matches the Rfam family "Bacterial small subunit ribosomal RNA", at positions 355 to 853 of the family's 1533-position model. The record is from RNAcentral.
UGGGGAAUCUUGGACAAUGGGCGCAAGCCUGAUCCAGCCAUGCCGCGUGAGCGAUGAAGGCCUUAGGGUUGUAAAGCUCUUUCACCGGUGAAGAUAAUGACGGUAGCAGGUAAAGAAACCCCGGCUAACUCCGUGCCAGCAGCCGCGGUAAUACGGAGGGGGUUAGCGUUGUUCGGAAUUACUGGGCGUAAAGCGCACGUAGGCGGACCAGAAAGUUGGGGGUGAAAUCCCGGGGGCUCAACCCCGGAACUGCCUCCAAAACUAUUGGUCUAGAGUUCGAGAGAGGUGAGUGGAAUUCCAAGUGUAGAGGUGAAAUUCGUAGAUAUUUGGAGGAACACCAGUGGCGAAGGCGGCUCACUGGCUCGAUACUGACGCUGAGGUGCGAAAGUGUGGGGAGCAAACAGGAUUAGAUACCCUGGGUAGUCCACACCGUAAAACGAUGAAUGCCAGUCGUCGGGUAGCAUGCUAUUCGGUGACACACCU